UGGGGAAUAUUGCACAAUGGGCGCAAGCCUGAUGCAGCCAUGCCGCGUGUGUGAAGAAGGCCUUCGGGUUGUAAAGCACUUUCAGCGAGGAGGAAGGGUAGUGUGUUAAUAGCACAUUGCAUUGACGUUACUCGCAGAAGAAGCACCGGCUAACUCCGUGCCAGCAGCCGCGGUAAUACGGAGGGUGCAAGCGUUAAUCGGAAUUACUGGGCG
RNAcentral lists this ribosomal RNA (213 nucleotides) under uncultured bacterium. RNAcentral describes it as "partial 16S ribosomal RNA". It matches the Rfam family "Bacterial small subunit ribosomal RNA", at positions 355 to 560 of the family's 1533-position model. The record is from RNAcentral.